This 2240-nucleotide long non-coding RNA is filed under the name Salmo salar (Atlantic salmon). RNAcentral describes it as "lncRNA (ENSSSAG00000104712.1)". The record is from RNAcentral. Lineage: Eukaryota; Metazoa; Chordata; Actinopteri; Salmoniformes; Salmonidae.
GGAGGACGCGGGCAGUUCUAGUUCUAUUUCACCUCAUAAACGCUCGCUCAGUCUGCGCAAAAUUAUUACCUCAGAAUCGCUCUCCAAGGAUGGUGUUUUUGACGUCUACUACCUGCUGACUACCUACUGCUUCAGAGGACCGACAAGACUAACACUUUCUUUACCAUGGGAAGGAUGGCCAGCCACACAGGAGGGUGAUUUUCAAUGAGGAGAAGGAGAAUGUGCUGACCGAGAUGCAUGCAGGCCAUUUUGGAGUGAAGCACAUUAUUGCCAAAAUCAACUUACGCUUCUUCUGGCGUGGGAUUGUGAAGGAUGUGGACAGCUGAGUCAGUACCUGUCUAGCCUGCCAGAAGUUUGAGAGGGUGAAGACUGUGGCGCCGGAGUUGAAGCCCAUCAGUUGUUUCACCAUGACACAUGAUUGGGGUGGACCUCGUCGGACCCUUCAUGAAAUCCAGGAAUGGCAACAGCUGGUGUCUAACGGCAACCGAUCACUUUUCCAAGUGGAUGUAGGCAAUACCCAUUAAGGACGAGACUGGCGAGGCCACCUCCAAGGCGAUGAUGGACAUCUUCAACACCCACGGUUCUCCCGAGGUCAUCUUGAGUGACCAAGGUUGUGAACUCUGGAACAAGGUUUGCAUGAACGGACCAUCCAGACCCUCAAGACUGCCAUGUAAAAGUUCCUUGACGGGUACCAGGAACGGUGGGAGGACAACCUGAAAGUAAUUUUGUUUGCACACAAAAGCAGCGUCCAGGGCUCCAACUACUACUCACCUUAUUGCCUGCUGUACGGACGGGAGCCACAACUGUUGACUAAGAGCAUAUACCCACGUGGGUGAUUGAAAGAUGAACUGACGUCCACACUCCAGUCGGUUGUAGUAAUGCAAAAAGUUGCCAACCACCAUAUGAAGUCCAAAGAAGAAAAAGCCUGAAGGGAGGAGGAGAGAUGACGAGAAACAAAUUAGGCUUCCCAUUUUAUCUGUGGAUUAAUUGUCGGAGUAGAGGACCUUGUGCAUUUUAGAUCACUGAAACCCCACCUGAUGUGGUAGAAGAUCAGAACGUCUUCAAGGACCACCUUCAGGCACGGGCUGAGAAGGAUGUGGUGGUUUUUGACCAGGUGAGACUGAACAUCGACAAGGCGCAGGUGAAACAGAAGUAGAGCCACCAGAGGAGAAUCAAGAAGGGGACCACGUGCUUUGACAUCUGGGCGAUUGACUUGAUUUGCAAGAAGAACGAAAUGAAGGGUUACCUCGGUGGUAGCCAACAAUCUCCUCCAGUUGGAGCAGUUGGACGGUCAACUAUUGAAAGCCCUGACACCCUACACUUCGGACCAUCAACUGUCCAAGCCACCCAGGAGGUAUCUCAUCCACCAGAGCCAGUGAUUUCGGAUCAGUCUGAUUCUCUGUGCUCUGAGUCAGAGGGGCCCAGCUUGAGGACCUAGGGGUUCUGCCUAAAACCUAGACGUAGAUCCACCUGAUGUCCUCCAUUACAAUCACCCUGCAACUUUUGAUUACAUCAUCUACAGCUACUGUUAUGUUGUCAUUAUCUUCUAAGAAAGUUUUCUUGGACCUACCGAGUGGUGCAGUGGUCUAAUGCACUGCAUCGCAGUGCUAGCUGUGCCACUAGAGAUUUUGGGUUCGAGUCCAGGCUCUCUCGCAGCUGGCCGUGACCGGGAGACCCAUGGGGUGGCACACAAUUGGACUAGCGCCGUCCGAGUUAGGGGAGGGUUUGGCCAUCAGGGAUGUCCUUGUCCCAAUGUUAACAAGGACCUGAGCCCUAGGACCAUGCCUCAGGACUACCUGGUAUGAUGACUCCUUGCUGUCCCCAGUCCACCUGGCCGUGCUGCUGCUCCAGUUUCAACUGUUCUGCCUGCGGCUAUGGAACCCUGACCUGUUCACCGGACGUGCUUGUUGCACCCUCGACAACUACUAUGAUUAUUAUUAUUUGACCAUGCUGGUCAUUUAUGAACAUUUUAACAUUUUAACAUCUUGACUAUGUUCUGUUAUAAUAUCCACCCUGCACAGCCAGAAGAGGACUGGCCACCCCACAUAGCCUGGUUCCUCUCUAGGUUUCUUCCUAGGUUUUUGGCCUUUCUAGGGAGUUUUUCCUAGGGAGUUUUUCCUAGCCACCGUGCUUCUUUCACAUGCUUUGCUUGCUGUUUGGGGUUUUAGGCUGGGUUUCUGUACAGCACUUUGAGAAUAUCAGCUGAUGUACGAAGGGCUAUAUAAAAAUAAAUUUGAUUU